GAUGAACGCUGGCGGCGUGCUUAACACAUGCAAGUCGAACGGAAAGGCUCCUGCUUGCAGGGGUACUCGAGUGGCGAACGGGUGAGUAACACGUGGGUGAUCUGCCCUGCACUUCGGGAUAAGCCUGGGAAACUGGGUCUAAUACCGGAUAGGACGAUGGUUUGGAUGCCAUUGUGGAAAGUUUUUCGGUGUGGGAUGAGCUCGCGGCCUAUCAGCUUGUUGGUGGGGUAAUGGCCUACCAAGGCGUCGACGGGUAGCCGGCCUGAGAGGGUGUACGGCCACAUUGGGACUGAGAUACGGCCCAGACUCCUACGGGAGGCAGCAGUGGGGAAUAUUGCACAGUGGGCGCAAGCCUGAUGCAGCGACGCCGCGUGGGGGAUGACGGCCUUCGGGUUGUAAACUCCUUUCGCUAGGGACGAAGCGCAAGUGACGGUACCUGGAGAAGAAGCACCGGCUAACUACGUG
Molecule: ribosomal RNA, 465 nt
Filed under: uncultured bacterium
Lineage: Bacteria
Description: partial 16S ribosomal RNA
Rfam family: Bacterial small subunit ribosomal RNA
Source: RNAcentral